RNAcentral lists this ribosomal RNA (442 nucleotides) under uncultured bacterium. RNAcentral's name for it is "partial 16S ribosomal RNA". It matches the Rfam family "Bacterial small subunit ribosomal RNA", at positions 338 to 795 of the family's 1533-position model. The record is from RNAcentral.
CCUACGGGAGGCAGCAGUGGGGAAUAUUGGGCAAUGGGCGAAAGCCUGACCCAGCAACGCCGCGGGAAGGAAGAAGGCUUUCGGGUUGUAAACUUCUUUUGACAGGGAAGAGCAGAAGAAGGUACCUGUAGAAUAAGCCACGGCUAACUACGUGCCAGCAGCCGCGGUAAUACGUAGGUGGCAAGCGUUGUCCGGAUUUACUGGGUGUAAAGGGCGUGUAGCCGGGCUGACAAGUCAGAUGUGAAAUCCGGGGGCUCAACCCCCGAACUGCAUUUGAAACUGUUGGUCUUGAGGAUCGGAGAGGCAGGCGGAAUUCCUAGUGUAGCGGUGAAAUGCGUAGAUAUUAGGAGGAACACCAGUGGCGAAGGCGGCCUGCUGGACGACAACUGACGGUGAGGCGCGAAAGCGUGGGGAGCAAACAGGCUUAGAUACCCUUGUAGUC